This is a long non-coding RNA of Mangifera indica (mango), 551 nucleotides long. RefSeq lists it as uncharacterized. The transcript is spliced from 3 exons. The record is from RefSeq and is a predicted model, not a curated record. NCBI's taxonomy places the organism in Eukaryota, Viridiplantae, Streptophyta, Magnoliopsida, Sapindales, Anacardiaceae.
CCAAGAAACCUCGAUAGAACUGAAUAAAGCAUUGCAUUAAUUAAGGGAACCAAUGUGAGACAAACAAUGGGAAGACGUUAACUGGCUAGUCUUGAAAACGCAUGAGGUUUUAAGGGAUUCAUCUAGCUAUCAAUUUACCCAUAUCUUACACUUUCAAGACAGUAUUAAGCUGAAUAAUUGUGAUGCUUCUAUAUGAACAAGGGAAUAGAUUUAUUGGCCGGAGAGGAGGCUGUUAUGAGACAUCUAGUAGUGAAGGAAUUUCAGAUCCCUUGUGUGCAUGCUGCUGCUUUACCACCUCUUCCAUUAACUCAAUUCCUUUGCCCUAAAUCAACUGCUGAGGAGAUAGGAUAUACUUUUUUGCCAUGUUCACUAGCUGGGCUACUUGGCCAAGAGCUCUGAAUCCCUGGAGAAGAGUUGCAUAUUAGCACUUGAUAUGGAUAGUCUUGUCCUUCCUAUUGAUGGUUGUGGAGGAGAUGGUUUGCAACCAGAAAAAGAAAAUAACAAAUAACAAAUUUAUGGUGCUUCCUAUUGAUGGUGCACAUUCAAAGACA